Molecule: ribosomal RNA, 838 nt
Filed under: Marginopora vertebralis
Lineage: Eukaryota; Foraminifera; Miliolida; Soritidae
Description: SSU rRNA
Rfam family: Eukaryotic small subunit ribosomal RNA
Source: RNAcentral
AAGGGCACCACAAGAACGCGUGGAGCAUGUGGCUUAAUUUGACUCAACCCGGGAAAUCUUACCAGGUCCAGACAUAUUGAGGAUUGACAGGCGAUAGUAUAUAAUUCAUUUAUAUGCAUAAAAAUGAUAGUCCUUUCAUGAUUAUAUGAUAGGUGGUGCAUGGCCGUUCUUAGUUCGUGGAGUGAUUUGUCUGCUUAAUUGCGUUUCAGUAAAUAAAAUAUGUAAUAUAUUAUAAUAUUUAGUUCUGCCUUGAAUAUUAUUCAAGGAUUUAAAGUGAACAUAUUAUAUAUAUUAUUAUAUAAUAAAUGAAUGCAACGAACGUGACCGUAACCUUUUAUUGCUACUAUACAUUGUAGCAUAAAAUUAAAGGAACCGCUGUCAUUACUAAUAUGUGUUAAAAUAGAGUAAGAUUAUGGCAAUAACAGGUCUGUGAUGCCCUCAGAUGUUCUGGGCUGCACACGUGCUACAAUAAUUACAUUAAUAAGUAUAUAUAAUAUAAUAUAUAUUUAUAUUAAUAUAUAUUAUAAAGACCUAUUUCGAAAGUAAAUCGGUAAUCAUUUAAAAAUCGUGAUUAAUAUAUUAAUAUAUUUAAUUUAAGGUGGGGAUAGUGUAUUGUUAAUUAUUACACUUGGCCUUAACUAGGAAUGCCUUGUACUCUUCUUUGGUUUAACAUACCAAGAGGAAUACGUCCCUGCCCUUUGUACACACCGCCCGUCGCUCUUACCGAUGAAUUAUAUUAUAAAUCUAAGGGAUUAUAAUAUAUAUAAUAUACAAACUUAUAUACAUAAUGUGAUUUAAAGGAAAGAGAAGUCGUAACAAGGCAUCAGUAGGUGAACCU